CCAUUUUGAUUAAAAAAAAUUAAGUCAUGUCAUAUUAAAUUGAAAACAUGAAGUUGAUGUGCAAUCUUGCCACUCGACACAGAAAAAAAUAUUAACAGUAAAGAGAAAGGAAAGAAAGAGUAACUGAGGGGGGUCAUCCACAGCCGUUUCAUAAUAAGAAGACGAAAUAAUUGACUGCAAGGGGUUAUUUGUUUUACUCCUUGUGGCUUUCCAUGGUAGCUCUCCUCCUUGUCUUUAUGAUAAAUCAUCUAAAAGCCUUCAAGUCAUCCUUCCUAGCAGCUCUCAUUUCGACAAGUGUUUACCUUAUUUUGUAGAAAUCAAGUGUUUUUAACAAGCCAUGAUAAAGGCAAGAACACUUAAAAGAAAUUUUCUCUAAAAACUAAUGUAG
RNAcentral lists this long non-coding RNA (388 nucleotides) under Gossypium barbadense (sea-island cotton). Its description in RNAcentral is "long non-coding RNA (GBAR_LNC017028)". Lineage: Eukaryota; Viridiplantae; Streptophyta; Magnoliopsida; Malvales; Malvaceae. The record is from RNAcentral.